RNAcentral lists this transfer RNA (71 nucleotides) under Bos indicus x Bos taurus (hybrid cattle). It matches the Rfam family "tRNA". Rfam says of the family: Transfer RNA (tRNA) molecules are approximately 80 nucleotides in length. Their secondary structure includes four short double-helical elements and three loops (D, anti-codon, and T loops). The record is from Rfam by way of RNAcentral. Lineage: Eukaryota; Metazoa; Chordata; Mammalia; Artiodactyla; Bovidae.
UCCCUGGUGGCUUAGUGGUAAAGAAUCUGAUUGCAAUGCAGGAGACCCAGGUUCAAUCCCUGGGUUGGGAA